RNAcentral lists this ribosomal RNA (497 nucleotides) under uncultured bacterium. RNAcentral describes it as "partial 16S ribosomal RNA". It matches the Rfam family "Bacterial small subunit ribosomal RNA", at positions 28 to 507 of the family's 1533-position model. The record is from RNAcentral.
GAUGAACGCUGGCGGCGUGCCUAAUACAUGCAAGUCGAGCGAACAGACGAGGAGCUUGCUCCUCUGACGUUAGCGGCGGACGGGUGAGUAACACGUGGAUAACCUACCUAUAAGACUGGGAUAACUUCGGGAAACCGGAGCUAAUACCGUAUAAUAUAUUGAACCGCAUUGGUCAAUAGUGAAAGACGGUUUUGCUGUCACUUAUAGAUGGAUCCGCGCCGCAUUAGCUAGUUGGUAAGGUAACGGCUUACCAAGGCGACGAUGCGUAGCCGACCUGAGAGGGUGAUCGGCCACACUGGAACUGAGACACGGUCCAGACUCCUACGGGAGGCAGCAGUAGGGAAUCUUCCGCAAUGGGCGAAAGCCUGACGGAGCAACGCCGCGUGAGUGAUGAAGGUCUUCGGAUCGUAAAACUCUGUUAUUAGGGAAGAACAAAUGUGUAAGUAACUAUGCACGUCUUGACGGUACCUAAUCAGAAAGCCACGGCUAACUACGUG